Temnothorax curvispinosus is the source of this 763-nucleotide long non-coding RNA. RefSeq lists it as uncharacterized. The record is from RefSeq and is a predicted model, not a curated record. The transcript is spliced from 4 exons. Lineage: Eukaryota; Metazoa; Arthropoda; Insecta; Hymenoptera; Formicidae.
AGUGAAAUAUAUAAAGUAUUAACCACAGAGAGCUGAUGUCGAGGAGAUUUUCAAAAGAAGGAAGGUAUAUCCAAAAUUGCACACUGCUCUGAAUGUCAUCUAGUCAUACAUAUCAAGAAUUUUCGAUGGGCUUCUUCAGAAGAUAGGAUACGAAGAAAAUCAUAAUGCAUGAUGACGAUAUCACAAAGAUGCUAAGGCUAGAUGCCACGAAAUGUGCAUGUACCGUCGGUCACGCGGAAUGCAAGAGAAAAUCCGCCGUUAAAUUGAGCGAACAUUCACGAAUCCUGAUACCCACAAAAGGAACAUGAAAAAGAGCAGGAAAAGGAAAGAAGACUAGCGGCGAAGCAGACAGAAAAGAACAAACAGAAGAGACAGAUUCAAGCUUUGUCUUUUAAUCUGGACGAAGACAAAGAUGAAGCUGAGAUGUCUUCUGACGAAGACAAUGCCAAAAAAUCCCCGCAGUCAGAAAAUGUGCAAUCUGAUGGCCCUGCGAUUAAGAAGAUUUAGAAAAAUCCAGAUGUAGAUACACGUUUUUUGCCAGUAGGGAAAGGGACGAGGAGGAAAAUAAACUUAGGAAAGAAUUGAAACAAGAAUGGGCUAGAAAGCAGAACGCGUUGAAGGAAGAAGAAAUUGAGAUCACAUUCAGUUAUUGGGAUGGAUCUGACCAUCGUCGGAGUGUUAUAAUGAAGAAAGGUAAUUCUAUCUAUUAGGUUCUUCAGAGAUGUUUAGAAGUUCUGAAGCCCGAAUUCAGCGAGCUUAAAAC